CUCUAUGCAGGCACUUUGUAGGAAUAUUGAACAAGACCUCUGGCCAAAUGGAAGUGUUUGAUGCGGAACUGUUGAACAUGCAGCCACUGUUUUCAGAUGAAUCAGUUGAGACUGAACAGACACUAGACAGCCAGACCAAAACUUUCAGAGAAAAGAUGGAUUCUUGUAUUGAAGCCUUUGGUACCACCAAACAGAAGUGAGCGCUGAACUCCAGAAGAAUGAACAGGGUUGGCAAUGAAUCUUUGAAUCUUGCAGUAGCUAAAGCUGCAGAGAAUAUCACUGAUACAAAGAUUGUGACUGCUCUGGUCUGUGAUGCCAUCCAUGAUGACUUGCAAGAUGACUCCCUCUACCUUCCUCCCUGCCAUGCCGAUGCAGCCAAGCCUGAAGAUGUGUAUAAAUUUGAAGAUCUUCUUUCUCCUGUGGAGUAUGAAGCUCUUCAGAGCCCAUCUGAAGCUUUCAGGAAUGUCACAUCAGAAGAGAUACUGAAGAUGAUUGAAGAGAACAGCCACUGCUCCUUUGUCAUAGAAGCACUGAAGUCUUUGCCAUCAAACGAGGAGAGCUGAGAUCGGCAGGCCUGAUGCAUAUGGUUUCUGGAUACCCUCAUCAAAUUUCGAACUCAGAGAGUGAUUAAGCGGAAAAGUGCCCUGGGACCUGGAGUGCCACACAUCAACACCAAGCUGCUGAAGCACUUCCCCUGCCUGACUUACAACAAUGGCAGUUUGCAUAACUUAAUUUUGGAUUCUAUGAAGGCGAAGAUUACUGCAUAUGUGAUCAUACUUGCCUUGCACAUAAGCAGCUUCCAGAUUGACCUGACGACGUUACAGAGGGACUUAAAGCUCAGUGAGAGAAGGAUGAUGGAGAUAGUAAGAGCCAUGAGGCUGACGAUCUCUAAAAGAAGGGUGUCUCUGGCUGCUGGUGGGGAAGAAGAUCACAAACUGGGCACUCUGUCCAUCCCACUGCCUCCAGCACAGACCUCAGACCGCCAGUCAAAGCGGAGGAAAAUUACCUAGAUGUGUGCUUUUCAGACAGCAUGUGACCCUAUCACAGCUACUGGUUCUAUUCAUUUUCA
RNA transcript from Otolemur garnettii (small-eared galago), 1069 nucleotides. It is a transcript of the gene named DNA-directed RNA polymerase I subunit RPA49 pseudogene, with no coding region annotated. The record is from RefSeq and is a predicted model, not a curated record. The transcript has a single exon. NCBI's taxonomy places the organism in Eukaryota, Metazoa, Chordata, Mammalia, Primates, Galagidae.